RNAcentral lists this ribosomal RNA (490 nucleotides) under uncultured bacterium. RNAcentral's name for it is "partial 16S ribosomal RNA". It matches the Rfam family "Bacterial small subunit ribosomal RNA", at positions 30 to 507 of the family's 1533-position model. The record is from RNAcentral.
UGACCGCUGGCGGCAUGCUUUACACAUGCACGUCGAACGGUAACAGGCCUUCGGGUGCUGACGAGUGGCGAACGGGUGAGUAAUGCAUCGGAACGUACCCAGAGGUGGGGGAUAACGCAGCGAAAGCUGUGCUAAUACUGCAUGUGAUCUGAGGAUGAAAGCGGGGGACCGAGCAGCAAUGUUUGGCCUCGCGCCUUUGGAGCGGCCGAUGUCGGAUUAGCUAGUUGGUGGGGUAAAGGCCUACCAAGGCGACGAUCCGUAGCUGGUCUGAGAGGACGACCAGCCACACUGGGACUGAGACACGGCCCAGACUCCUACGGGAGGCAGCAGUGGGGAAUUUUGGACAAUGGGCGCAAGCCUGAUCCAGCAAUGCCGCGUGCGGGAAGAAGGCCUUCGGGUUGUAAACCGCUUUUGGCAGGAACGAAACGGUGUCCGCUAAUACCGGGCGCUAAUGACGGUACCUGCAGAAUAAGCACCGGCUAACUACGUG